RNAcentral lists this ribosomal RNA (426 nucleotides) under uncultured marine bacterium. RNAcentral's name for it is "bacterial SSU rRNA". It matches the Rfam family "Bacterial small subunit ribosomal RNA", at positions 360 to 804 of the family's 1533-position model. The record is from RNAcentral.
AAUAUUGCACAAUGGAGGGAACUCUGAUGCAGCGACGCCGCGUGAACGAAGAAGGCUUUCGAGUCGUAAAGUUCUUUUAUAUGGGAAGAUAAUGACGGUACCAUAAGAAAAAGCCCCGGCUAACUACGUGCCAGCAGCCGCGGUAAUACGUAGGGGGCUAGCGUUGUCCGGAAUCACUGGGCGUAAAGGGUUCGCAGGCGGAAAUGCAAGUCAGAUGUAAAAGGCAGUAGCUUAACUACUGUAAGCAUUUGAAACUGCAUAUCUUGAGAAGAGUAGAGGUAAGUGGAAUUUUUAGUGUAGCGGUGAAAUGCGUAGAUAUUAAAAAGAAUACCGGUGGCGAAGGCGACUUACUGGGCUCAUUCUGACGCUGAGGAACGAAAGCGUGGGUAGCAAACAGGAUUAGAUACCCUGGUAGUCCACGCUGUA